This is a long non-coding RNA of Syngnathus typhle (broad-nosed pipefish), 876 nucleotides long. RefSeq lists it as uncharacterized. NCBI's taxonomy places the organism in Eukaryota, Metazoa, Chordata, Actinopteri, Syngnathiformes, Syngnathidae. The transcript has 3 exons. The record is from RefSeq and is a predicted model, not a curated record.
CAGAAAAAGAAACUUGAAAACGUGAAAAAAUAACUUUCUUUGUCAAAGGGAACAUUAUCAACAUUUUUUUCCAACAAUUCAAACAAUGCAUCACUGCACUGUGUAGAACACAGCAUGUGGGAAGAUCUUAGUAUUUACUGAUGCUGCUUUCACUCCACUUCCCAGGUCAUUAUAGAUCUCCCAGGCAUAUGCAGUCCUCCUGCAGUAUGCCACAUAAUGCCCGAGAGAAUCCUGGGUCAGUCCUGGUUCAAAGCCAAUGACUGCUCUCAAAGUAAAGGUCUUCUCUUUUAGCUCCAGACUGGAGGGAAAUUCAAGCAAGGCAACUUCCUUGCAACUGCUACCAAGAGUUUUGAAUGAAGACGGACACUGGGAAGGAUUUUCAAUUGGCCUGAGGCAGAGAAAGUCAGGAAGGCUGAGUCCCUCUUCAGCAGCAGUCUGAAGAGAAGCCAUGCCACAGUGGAGAUGUGGCAUUGUGCAUCAAUUUGGAGAGCACCAGAGGUCAGGAGGACAGGUUUGAAUAUUUCCCCCAGCAGUUCUGCCCUCUGUGAAUAUACCUGUGGGUUCACACUCUGUGUUGUGAUGGUUUUCACCAGGUGGAGGAAUUGGUUCCCACAUUCAUAGUUCAGAACAGUCUUUUCAAAUGAAAAACUUUCACAGAAAGAACAGCAUAAGCAUUGCAAGACAGAAUCAAAUGCACAAGUAUUGAGCACAAACACUUUUGAUGUGCGAAGUUUAACAGGCUGUUGAUGGUUCCCGUUUUUCAACAAUGGUACCUUGACUUUUUUCCAGCCCACUUGUGUGUCAAUAUGCAGCCAUUCAGGACAAGGAGAGAGAUAUGAAGUUAUCUUUCUUUUUUUCGGUGGGACUGCUAAACCU